UCCCUAAAGGACUAGUGGUUAGGCCACAGCACUCUCGCCACUGCGGCCUGGGUUCAAUUCCCAGCCAGGGAA
This 72-nucleotide transfer RNA is filed under the name Pangasianodon hypophthalmus (striped catfish). RNAcentral's name for it is "tRNA-Glu". The record is from RNAcentral. Lineage: Eukaryota; Metazoa; Chordata; Actinopteri; Siluriformes; Pangasiidae.